CAGUAGCCGCGGGAAUACGUAGGGUGCAAGCGUUAAUCGGAAUUACUGGGCGUAAAGCGUGCGCAGGCGGUUUGUUAAGACAGAUGUGGAAUCCCCGGGCUCAACCUGGGAACUGCAUUUGUGACUGGCAAGUUAGAGUAUGGCAGAGGGGGGUGGAAUUCCGCGUGUAGCAGUGAAAUGCGUAGAUAUGCGGAGGAACACCGAUGGCGAAGGCAGCCCCCUGGGCCAAUACUGACGCUCAUGCACGAAAGCGUGGGGAGCAAACAGGAUUAGAUACCCCAGUAGUCCCUGUCUCUUAUAC
This 301-nucleotide ribosomal RNA is filed under the name uncultured bacterium. Its description in RNAcentral is "partial 16S ribosomal RNA". It matches the Rfam family "Bacterial small subunit ribosomal RNA", at positions 509 to 807 of the family's 1533-position model. The record is from RNAcentral.